This 497-nucleotide ribosomal RNA is filed under the name uncultured bacterium. Its description in RNAcentral is "partial 16S ribosomal RNA". It matches the Rfam family "Bacterial small subunit ribosomal RNA", at positions 28 to 507 of the family's 1533-position model. The record is from RNAcentral.
GAUGAACGCUGGCGGCGUGCCUAAUACAUGCAAGUCGAGCGAACAGACGAUGAGCUUGCGCCUCUGACGUUAGCGGCGGACGGGUGAGUAACACGUGGAUAACCUACCUAUAAGACUGGGAUAACUUCGGGAAACCGGAGCUAAUACCGGAGAAUAUAUUGAACCGCGGGGGUCAAUGGUGAAUGACGGUUUUGCUGUCACUUAUAGAUGGUUCCGCGCCGCAUUAGCUAGUUGGUAAGGUAACGGCUUACCAAGGCAACGAUGCGUAGCCGACCUGGGAGGGUGGUCGGCCACAUUGGAACUUGGACACGGACCAGACUCCUACGGGAGGCACCAGUAGGGAAUCUGCCGCAAUAGGGGAAAGCCUUACGGAGCAACGCCAAGUGAGUGAUGAAGGUCUUCGGAUCGUAAAACUCUGUUAUUAGGGAAAAACAAAUGUGGAAUUAACCAUGCACGUCUUGACGGUACCGAAUCAGAAAGCCCCGGCUAACUACGUG